UCGAGAAUCUUUCGCAAUGGGGGAAACCCUGACGACGCGACGCCGCGUGGAGGAUGAAGGUCUUCGGAUUGUAAACUCCUGUCAGCAGGGGAGAAUAAGCUGUCGAUGAAUAAUUGAUGGCUUUGACAGUACCUGCAGAGGAAGCCACGGCUAACUCUGUGCCAGCAGCCGCGGUAAUACAGAGGUGGCAAGCGUUGUUCGGAUUUAUUGGGCGUAAAGGGUCCGUAGGCGGUCUGAAAAGUUGGAUGUGAAAUCCCACGGCUUAACUGUGGAACUGCAUUCAAAACUUUCAGGCUAGAGUGUGAUAGGGGUAAAGGGAAUUCCCGGUGUAAGGGUGAAAUCUGCAGAGAUCGGGAGGAACACCAGUCGCGAAGGCGCUUUACUGGAUCACUACUGACGCUGAGGGACGAAAGCCAGGGGAGCAAACG
Molecule: ribosomal RNA, 428 nt
Filed under: uncultured prokaryote
Description: bacterial SSU rRNA
Rfam family: Bacterial small subunit ribosomal RNA
Source: RNAcentral